RNAcentral lists this ribosomal RNA (781 nucleotides) under uncultured archaeon. Its description in RNAcentral is "bacterial SSU rRNA". It matches the Rfam family "Archaeal small subunit ribosomal RNA", at positions 68 to 839 of the family's 1478-position model. The record is from RNAcentral.
CAUGAGGACGAGCGGCAGACCGCUCAGUAACACGUAGCUAACCUACCCUCAGGACGUGGAUACCCCCGGGAAACUGGGGCUAAUCCGCGAUAGGUGUGGAGGCCUGGAAUGGUUCCACGCCCAAAGGCACAGCGAUCAUGUUUGUUGUGUGCCUGAGGAUGGGGCUGCGGCCGAUCAGGCAGUUGGCGAGGUAACGGCUCACCAAACCUUUGACCGGUACGGGCCAUGAAAGUGGUAGCCCGGAGAUGGGCACUGAGACAGGGGCCCAGGCCCUACGGGGCGCAGCAGGCGCGAAACCUCCACAAUGUACGUAAGUACGAUGGGGUUAUCUCGAGUGCAGUCCGAUAAGGGUUGCUUUUCCAUAGAGUAAUAUCCUGUGGGAAUAAGAGGGGGGCAAGACUGGUGUCAGCCGCCGCGGUAACACCAGCCCCUCGAGUGGUGGGGACUAUUAUUUGGCCUAAAGCGUCCGUAGCUGGCUGUAUCCGUCUCCCGUUAAAUCCAGCGUCCUAAGCGUUGGACCGCGGGUGAUACCAUACAGCUAGAGGGUGGGAUAGGUGAGCGGUAUUUCUGGGGUAGGGGCGAAAUCCUUUGAUCCCAGGAGGACCACCAGUGGCGAAAGCUGCUCACUAGAACACGCCUGACGGUCAGGGACGAAAGCUGGGGCAGCGAACCGGAUUAGAUACCCGGGUAGUCCCAGCUGUAAACGAUGCUAGCUAGUGUUGGGUCGGCCACGCGCCGCCCAGUGCGCAGGAAGCCGUUAAGCUAGCGCCUGGGGAGUACG